Molecule: long non-coding RNA, 1021 nt
Organism: Gossypium arboreum
Lineage: Eukaryota; Viridiplantae; Streptophyta; Magnoliopsida; Malvales; Malvaceae
Exons: 2
Source: RefSeq, a predicted model, not a curated record
AAUCAAGGAAUAUAAAUAAAUCCACCUUCGCAUAGCAUCUCUCAAGCCUCCACUCAUUGCAAAUUUCCUACUUCAUUUCCUUAAAAAACUUUUGCCUCCUAUCAUCUCUUGUUUCUUAGAUUCUAGAAAUGGGAAAGUUUAUAUGGUUGUGUCCAAUCCGUAGUCUCCUCUUCGUGCUGUUCUUUCUUUCUGUAGUCGAUUCUUUUCUGAGUUUGUCUUCCUCUUCUCUUAAUCCUACCCUUUUGUGUCUACCAGAAGACACCUCCGCCUUGCUCCAAUUCAACAACACUCUAUUCAUUUAUGAAUCUGCUCAUGAUUUAUGUGCAUAUCCCAAAACAAAAUCUUGGAAUGAAAGCACAAACUCUGCACAUGGGAGGGAGUCACUUGUAAUAAAGUAACUGGUCAGGUGAUUAGCCUCGACCUUAGUUGCUCUAUGCUUACCGGCUCACUUUCCCCAAACACCAGCCUUUUUCGCCUUCAAGGGCUCAAACGACUCAACCUUUCUUUUAGCAAUUUCAGUGGUUCGAUUCCAUCUGGGUUUAGUCAGUUAGUUCAAUUUUCAAGUGGGAUUAGAAGGUUGGGAACAAUUGUGUUGGAAAUUGGCCUGCAUGCAGCAUGUGAAUUUCCAACAUGUCAAGAAGCAGCCAGAGCCAUGUAUGCAGCUGUGAAGAAAAGAGAUUAAACUGUUGUAUUAUUACUGGGUGAAGUAUGCAUCUUGAACCAGAAAAGUUGGCUUCCAUGCAGCUCAUGCAGAUUCAUGCACACAAGAAUUCAUGUACAUAAGUUGUCCGGGUAAAGAACGUGCAAUAAUCCAUGUUCUCGGUUAAAGUGCGUGCAACUGAAGAUGUUAAUGCUACUGCUUCAUCUCAGUUUCAUUUUGUUACCUUUUAACAAUAUUUUUAUAAUUUAGUUCAUUUUGAAUUAUGUUUGAAUGACAAGUUGAUGUAACUUAAUGGUCAAAGAGCUAGUUACCAACUUUGUUUAAGUGUGCAAGUAAUAUCACCUAGUUCCAAUGUAAUAA